RNAcentral lists this long non-coding RNA (1292 nucleotides) under Androctonus crassicauda. Lineage: Eukaryota; Metazoa; Arthropoda; Arachnida; Scorpiones; Buthidae. The record is from RNAcentral.
ACUAUAUUCUAAUGUUCUUUGUUCUGGAAAGGUUAAGUUCUUUUUAGUGUUAAUGUACUGACGAGGGACCCACUGAGGUCUGAAAACGUUUUACAGAUAAUUCAGAUACUUGCAUUCAGAACUGUUUAUGAACUUUUGUGAAAAAAUUGAAUGGUAUUUUUUAAGAUAGAAAAUGAUUUCAGUUGUUUGUAAAAAAAUAUAAUAGUAUCAAACCAUGAAAACAGAACUGACAAGAUAUUAUAAGGAUAGUUGUUUGUUUAGAAGGAAAUGAAUUAGCCUGUACAAAGAAUAACAAAUAUUUGAUAACAAAAAUAAAAUUAAUGGUCAUCUUGCAUAGAAAAAAUGUUUGUUGACUUCCUUUAAGAAUAUGUAAAGGACACCUUGAAUUUGCAUGUAAAGCUCCAUCAGAUAAAUUAUAACCAAAAGCUGAUAAAAUUGCUAAUAGUAAUAAAAUUCCAAGGUUUUUAAGGAAGUCUAUGUUUAAGGCACCUAUUUGCUCAUUGUAAAGCUACAUAAACAUCCAUUGAAAAUUAAGACCAAUUGUAAAGAAGCAAACUCCCCAUAAUAAUUUUGGAAAGAAAAUUAGCAAAAUGUAACAUAGAGAACAUAUGCUUAACUCUCUAUGGGAAAUUAAGUAAAUAAAGGAGUUCAUAGAUGUUCUAUUUGAAAUAUAGCCACUGCCAGAUGAGUUUAUACCCUAACAAUUGUUUGGAAUCUGCCUGUUUAGAACUUUUUAGGAUGUCAUUUGCAUUUUUACCAAAAGAGGAAACAGAUAUUAAGAGAUUUGUAUUAUGUAAUUAUAUAUUGCUCUUUUUUAGAUUCAAUAGAAAAUUUUAUCUUCAAAGCAAAAGGCAAAGGCAUUUCAGUUGGGAUCCUGCUUAUUGGCAUGCUUGUGGAAUUAGUAGUUCAUAGAAAAGAAAAAAAAGCAUCGUAGUAGACUUGGAGAAAAAAGUAAAAUUAUAUAGAAGUCAUGAUAAAGGAAGAUAGUCUAAGUGAUCUAAAGGUAGAAGAAAGAUUAACAGACACCUAUAGGAUUACAAUUAAAAACAGAAAAAGCUACUACAGAACUAGUAGAUUGUUUUGGAUAAUAAAAUACAGAUAAGGAAUAGGGAAUGUGUAAUAUCAUAUAUAAUAAAGGAAUAAGCAUUUGAAGUCCCAUAUUACUGCAAAUGGGCAAACUCCUUGGACUGGAAGUGCUUUCAUUACAAACACAUAAAUACUGAAACACUAUUGGCGGUUGUGGGUGGAAACAGUUUUAAUCACGAACGUUUUCGGCGGUGCGGACGGUUGCC